AUGCCCGCGCGCCAACUCCGCCGCAGCAGCCACCACCUCACCGCCGCCGCCGUCACAAAAUCCCACGCCACCCUGCUCAAGUCCGGCGUCACCUCCCCGACGCCCUGGAACCAGCUCCUCACCGCCUAUUCCCUCUCCCCGCUCGGCCUCGUCGCCGCGCGCCAGGUGUUCGACCAAAUCCCCCGCCCAGACGCCGCCUCCUGGAACUCCCUCCUCACCGCGCACGUCUCGGCCGGCGCGCACCCCGAUGCGUCCCGCCUCCUCCGGGCCAUGCAUGCCCGAGGACUCGCCGCCAACACCUUCGCCCUUGGCUCCGCCCUCCGCUCCGCUGCCGCCGUGGGCUGCCUUGCUCUGGGCGCCCAGCUGCACUCGCUCGCCGUCAAAGCCGGCCUCGCCGAUAAUGUCUUCGCUGCGACCGCAUUGCUUCAUAUGUAUGCAAAAUGUGGCCGGACGAGGGACGCUCGUUGGGUGUUCGAUGGAAUGCCGGAGCGGAACACUGUUUCUUGGAACGCACUCAUUGCCGGUUAUGUGGAGUCUGGGAAGGUUGCUCCAGCAGUUCAGCUGUUUGUUGACAUGAAGAGGGAGGGGUUACUUCCCGACGAGGCAACAUUCGCUGCAUUGCUCACAGUGGUCGAUGAGUCCACUUGCUUCUUGAUGCACCAGCUGCAUGGGAAGAUUGUCAAAUAUGGAUCGGCAUUGGGCUUGAUAGUGUUGAAUGCAGCAAUCACUGCCUACUCGCAAUGUGGUGCCCUGGUGAAUUCUAGAAGGAUCUUUGAUGAAAUUGGGGACAGAAGGGAUUUGAUCUCAUGGAACGCAAUGCUUGCAGCUUACGCUUCCCAUGGGAUGGAGCAUGAGGCGAUGAGAUUCUUUGCUAGCAUGAUGCGAACGAGUGGAGUUCAGCCUGACAUGUAUAGUUUCACAAGUAUCAUAAGUGCGUGCGCAGAGCAUCGUGACCAUGGAGGGACAGUAAUUCAUGGUUUGGUGAUCAAGAACGGCUUCGAAGGAGUCACGCCUAUUUGCAAUGCUCUAAUUGCCAUGUACACUAGAUUUGGUGAGAACUGCAUGAUGGAAGAUGCAUAUAAGUGCUUUGAUUCCUUGCUGCUUAAAAACACCGUCUCCUGGAAUUCUAUGUUAACUGGGUAUUCACAGCACAGUUUGAGCGCUGAUGCCUUGAGAUUCUUCAGAUGCAUGCAGUCAAAAAAUAUUAGAACUGACGAGUUUGCAUUCUCUGCUGUCCUGCGUUCAUGCUCAGACCUUGCUUUACUUCGGCUAGGUAGACAAAUACACGGUUUAGUCAUCCAUUCUGGCUUUGCUUCCAACAAUUUUGUUUCCAGCUCGCUGAUCUUCAUGUAUUCUAAGAGUGGCGUUUUGGAUGAUGCAAUGGAGUCUUUUGAGGAGGCAGAUAAGAGUAGCUCUGUGCCAUGGAACUCAAUGAUGUUUGGUUAUGCGCAGCAUGGACAGGUGCAAGCCGUGCGCAGCCUCUUCAAUGAGAUGCUGAAGCUUAAGGUUCCUUUGGAUCAUAUCACAUUUGUUGGCCUGAUUACUGCCUGCAGUCAUGCUGGUCUUGUACACAAAGGUUCAGAAAUCCUCAAUACGAUGGAAAUUAGGUAUGGAAUUCCUCUUCGGAUGGAGCAUUAUGCAUGUGGCAUUGAUCUGUAUGGGAGGGCUGGGCAGCUUGACAAAGCAAAAGAUCUUAUUGACCGUAUGCCAUUUAAACCAGAUGCCAUGGUGUGGAUGACCCUAUUAGGUGCUUGCAGAAUCCAUGGGAAUAUGGAACUUGCAAGUGAUGUGGCCAACCAUCUAUUGGAGGCAGAACCUAGACAGCACUCCACCUAUGUUCUCCUCUCGAGCAUGUAUUCUGGUCUUGGGAUGUGGAGUGAUAGAGCAAUCGUGCAGAAGGAAAUGAAGAAUAAAGGAUUAAGCAAAGUCCCUGGUUGGAGCUGGAUCGAGGUGAAGAAUGAGGUGCACUCUUUCAAUGCAGAGGAUGGGUCGCACCCAAGGAUGGAGGAAAUAUAUGAGAUGUUGAGUUUGUUGCUUCACAAUUUUCCCAUGCAGCUGCCGCAUCUAGAAACAAGUGGAGCCAUGGACUGCUAA
RNAcentral lists this ribosomal RNA (2094 nucleotides) under Triticum aestivum (bread wheat). RNAcentral describes it as "partial small subunit ribosomal RNA". Lineage: Eukaryota; Viridiplantae; Streptophyta; Magnoliopsida; Poales; Poaceae. The record is from RNAcentral.